This 377-nucleotide RNase P RNA is filed under the name Tenebrionibacter intestinalis. RNAcentral describes it as "Bacterial RNase P class A". It matches the Rfam family "Bacterial RNase P class A". From Rfam's summary of the family: Ribonuclease P (RNase P) is a ubiquitous endoribonuclease, found in archaea, bacteria and eukarya as well as chloroplasts and mitochondria. Lineage: Bacteria; Pseudomonadati; Pseudomonadota; Gammaproteobacteria; Enterobacterales; Enterobacteriaceae. RNAcentral also lists the same sequence under 1 other name. The record is from Rfam by way of RNAcentral.
GAAGUUGACCAGACAGUCGCUGCUUCGUCGUCGUCCCCCCGGGGAGACAGGCGGAGUGGAGGAAAGUCCGGGCUCCAUAGGGCAGGGUGCCAGGUAACGCCUGGGGGGCGUAAGCCUACGACCAGUGCAACAGAGAGCAAACCGCCGAUGGCCCGCAUAAGCGGGAUCAGGUAAGGGUGAAAGGGUGCGGUAAGAGCGCACCGCGCGGCUGGUAACAGUUCGCGGCACGGUAAACUCCACCCGGAGCAAGGCCAAAUAGGGGUUCACAUGGUACGGCCCGUACUGAACCCGGGUAGGCUGCUUGAGCCAGUGAGCGAUUGCUGGCCCAGAUGAAUGACUGUCCACGACAGAACCCGGCUUAUCGGUCAGCUUCAACU